AAAACGUGUCAUUUUUUUCAUGAGAGGUAUGGUUUUGCUUUUGUGAGAGGCACAACCAUGCCUCUCAGAAACGAAAAAACGUGUUUUUUCUCUUUCAGGAGAGGCACGGUUUUACUUUUGCAAGAGGCACAAUCAUGCCUCUCGAAAACGAAAAAACGCGUUUUUUUCUCUUCCGUGAGAGGCACGGCCAUGCCUCUCGAAAACGAGAAAAAUGUGUUUUUUGUUUUUUUCCUUCUGCGAGAGGCACGGUUUUGCUUUUUGCGAGAGGCACGACCGUUGACCGUACAUUUUUCGGAAAGAAAAAAAAACCGUGCUCCUGAUUUGGUUUUUUUCAUGAAAGAAAAAGUUCGUCAAAACCUAUCAACAUGUGAUCUAAUUUUGAAGAUAUCGACACGAGGAAUCCAACGAUGAAAAUGGUUCGAGACUUGGACGCACGGUUUAAGAAGUAAAACGUUUUAAAUAAACAAAUCUAAAAAAAAGAAAACUCACAAGUUGCGACAAAUGACGCAUCGUAAAGCACCUAUUUGUCAUAAUACGAGGAGGUUGGAGUGAUUACGUGGAUGUAGUAAAGCUCUUACUCUCUCCGUUCCAGAAUAUAAAGGUGUAUUGGUUUUUGUGCAAGCCAACCAUUUAAAUGUUUGAUCAAGACCCUAGAAUAAAAUAACAACAUUUGAUAUGCCUAGUAGAUAAAAUAUGAAACUACUUUUCAUGAUGGAUCAAAUGAUAUAAAUUUCGUAUCGUGAAUGUUGAUAUAUUUUUCUAAAAACUCGGUAAAACUUGCACUCAUUUGACUUUUCAAAAAAUAAAUACAAAGAAACGUAGGGAGUAUUGUAGUGCAAAACGGCUCUCCGCUUGAGUCAAGUGAGGUUGCGGACGCACGUGUGGGGGUUCAACCUUGGUCUCCGUCGCCGCCCCUCAGAUCUGGUACCCUUCUUCCCCGGCGCCCGCCGCGCGAUGUUGGGUGACAACCUGAUGGACAAGGUGACCACGAUGAGCAAGCGGCUGAAGGUCACCGGGACGAAGGUCGGCAAUAGAUGACGGUUGGCAUGAGCUUCAAGAUGAGGGAGCUCUUCCAGGGGCAGGAAAGCGUUAAGGGGCCUGACUUGGCCAUGAACCUGGAGAUCUGUGUCUCCCAAAACUACUAGCUAGCUAGCUCUCAGCCUCUCCCAUAAUCGAUGGAGCAGCAGAGCAACUCGUGUAUAUAUGCUCGUGUGAGAGAACAGAGGAAGACUAAACAAACUACAGCUACAGUGCAAGCUGCGGUCACAUGCACACACACUUGAAAUGGAGUAGUAAUAGCUCACAUAGUACUACUUUGCUGCUGAUAGCUUGAUUAAAGUGAAGGAGUCCAACUCCUUAUAUAGGAGCACAAACUGACUAUAGUCAUAGCUGACCUCACUGCUUACAUCAUAGGUCCUUCGAUGACCUUCUACUACUAGUUACAACACGCUACAAUUUUUUUAUCUACUA
Long non-coding RNA from Aegilops tauschii subsp. strangulata, 1470 nucleotides. RefSeq lists it as uncharacterized. The record is from RefSeq and is a predicted model, not a curated record. NCBI's taxonomy places the organism in Eukaryota, Viridiplantae, Streptophyta, Magnoliopsida, Poales, Poaceae.